RNAcentral lists this ribosomal RNA (336 nucleotides) under Triticum aestivum (bread wheat). RNAcentral's name for it is "partial small subunit ribosomal RNA". Lineage: Eukaryota; Viridiplantae; Streptophyta; Magnoliopsida; Poales; Poaceae. The record is from RNAcentral.
AUGAACUCCUCCUCUGCUCCGGGCCCGGACGGUCUUCCGGUCAUUUUCUUCCAGACCUUCUAGAACGUGAUUAAACCAGAGGUCAUGGCCAUCUUUGAUGAAUUCUUUGUGCGAUCUAUUGACCUAGGCAACCUCAACUUUGGGACCAUCUCCCUCAUCCCCAAGGUCCCUAGGGCGACUGACAUCCGCCAGUUCUGCCCGAUUACGGUCAUUAACGUGAUCUUUCGGAUCCUGGCCAAGGGGUACGCCAAUAGGGUGACCCUGCUUGCAGAUCGGAUUACCCACCCUAACCAAUAAGCCUUCAUUAAGGGUCGGUACAUCCUGGAUGGUGCCCUG